UUAAAUUGAAGAGUUUGAUCAUGGCUCAGAUUGAACGCUGGCGGCAGGCCUAACACAUGCAAGUCGAACGGUAACAGAAAGCGGCUUGCU
Molecule: ribosomal RNA, 90 nt
Filed under: Escherichia coli
Lineage: Bacteria; Pseudomonadati; Pseudomonadota; Gammaproteobacteria; Enterobacterales; Enterobacteriaceae
Description: partial 16S ribosomal RNA
Rfam family: Bacterial small subunit ribosomal RNA
Source: RNAcentral